AGCGAACGCUGGCGGCAGGCCUAAUACAUGCAAGUCGAGCGCACCUUCGGGUGAGCGGCGGACGGGUGAGUAACGCGUGGGAACGUGCCCUUUGGUACGGGAUAACUCAGGGAAACUUGAGCUAAUACCGUAUGUGCCCUUCGGGGGAAAGAUUUAUCGCCAUUGGAGCGGCCCGCGUUGGAUUAGCUAGUUGGUGGGGUAAAGGCCUACCAAGGCUACGAUCCAUAGCUGGUCUGAGAGGAUGAUCAGCCACACUGGGACUGAGACACGGCCCAGACUCCUACGGGAGGCAGCAGUAGGGAAUCUUGCGCAAUGGGCGAAAGCCUGACGCAGCCAUGCCGCGUGAAUGAUGAAGGUCUUAGGAUUGCAAAAUUCUUUCACCGGGGAAGAUAAUGACGGUACCCGGAGAAGAAGCCCCGGCUAACUUCGUGCCAGCCGCCGCAGUAA
This 447-nucleotide ribosomal RNA is filed under the name uncultured bacterium. Its description in RNAcentral is "partial 16S ribosomal RNA". It matches the Rfam family "Bacterial small subunit ribosomal RNA", at positions 29 to 523 of the family's 1533-position model. The record is from RNAcentral.